AAACAUUCGAGUACCAGAGGCUUCUUCAAUCAUUGAUAAAAUUUCAGUAGCCUUCAUAUUAAGAACCUUGGUGAUUCGACCUUGCAUAAUUAAAAAAUUAGGAUUAUUAAUAUUUAACUGAACAGACUGGAACAAAUUUUGAACAUUCUGUUGCAGAGCUCUAUGUCCAUUAAUCAAAUAUUUGCUUGUACCGCCCAUGAUAAUUUGUCUUGUAACGCUUACUUGCGGGUGAUUCUCGAAACCAAUUGGUGAAGACGCAGGAUCCCGAUUAUUAAACACAAUGGUAACGCUAGCUCUGGUUAUUCCUGCCUGUCCGCGUUUGUAAAUUAAGUCCUGUAAAUUCUGGGCACGGACAGUCGACAUAUUCGUAAUUCCCAAGACAAAGCAUAUUGCAUCUAAUAU
This is a non-coding RNA of Schizosaccharomyces pombe (fission yeast), 402 nucleotides long. Lineage: Eukaryota; Fungi; Ascomycota; Schizosaccharomycetes; Schizosaccharomycetales; Schizosaccharomycetaceae. The record is from the annotation of a GenBank genome assembly.